RNAcentral lists this ribosomal RNA (253 nucleotides) under uncultured bacterium. RNAcentral describes it as "partial 16S ribosomal RNA". It matches the Rfam family "Bacterial small subunit ribosomal RNA", at positions 524 to 776 of the family's 1533-position model. The record is from RNAcentral.
UACGAAGGGGGCUAGCGUUGCUCGGAAUUACUGGGCGUAAAGGGCGCGUAGGCGGAUAGUUUAGUCAGAGGUGAAAGCCCAGGGCUCAACCCUGGAAUUGCCUUUGAUACUGGCUAUCUUGAGUUCGGGAGAGGUGAGUGGAACUCCGAGUGUAGAGGUGAAAUUCGUAGAUAUUCGGAAGAACACCAGUGGCGAAGGCGACUCACUGGCCCGAUACUGACGCUGAGGCGCGAAAGCGUAGGGAGCAAACAGG